Long non-coding RNA from Fukomys damarensis (Damara mole-rat), 1031 nucleotides. RefSeq lists it as uncharacterized. The record is from RefSeq and is a predicted model, not a curated record. Lineage: Eukaryota; Metazoa; Chordata; Mammalia; Rodentia; Bathyergidae. The transcript has 8 exons.
AGGAGACCUGCGUGGGCGGGAGCCCCACCGUGGUGCAGUCCGCGCGUCUCCUCCCUGAACUUUCUGAAGGCUGGACAUACCAAGAUGGAAAGGGCUUGCAUCUGAUGAAGGCCGCCUUGUGGAGUCAUCUCAUGGAAAACAACAGAAGCAUAUUGAAGACUCCUUCCAGUGAAGACGGGCAAGUUAAGUCUGUAUUACUGAGCACUGAGGAGUAUAGAACAUAUCAGAAUGGAAAGAGAAUAUUGCAUCUUUGUGGCCUUUCUUCAGAAUUUCUCCAAUGUAAGAUAUAUACAUUUCCAGAUCAUUUAAUAUUCCGCAAAUUCAGCAAGCAUAAAUCCUAGGACAGUCACAACAUUCCUGACGGAACAUCUGGAGCAGUCCUACUUGGCAAGAAGAAGCACAAGAAAGAUCAGGAAAAUGAAUGAGUUGUGGAAGUGGAGCUCUAAACUUGAGGACGGCCAUCAAGACAACGAAAACGACCUGUGUCUUUAAAGGGAGCAAGUUAGGGGCAGGCAGCCUCAAAUAAGUUGAAGAAACGUCUGGGCUGAUAAUAAACUGACUUCCGAAAUGUGGAUUUCACUUUGAGAACUUCACACAAAAACGGAAGGCAAGCAGUGACUGAACCAGGAUGAAGCCGACAUUGCCUAAAACACGCUUGCAUUGUCUUCCUCCAUUGGUCUACCGGAAUAGCACAGCUUAGGAAGCAUUCAGCUAGGGAGUUUUAUGAAUUUUCUUCUGAUGAAUAAUUGAUGCUUCUAUGCAGAUCCAGUUGGCGAAGGCUCUCCCAUCAUGCCUGCAAAAUAAUUGUAAUUUAAAGUUUAUGACAUAAGUUCUUUCAACCUGAGAUCUGGGAGAGGAGAGAGAACUUCCAAGUCUGUGGUGGUACCUGUCUCAUCCAGACCGCUGGAGCAAUCAUGAAUAGAAGAAUACAGACCAUUCUGAGUUUGCUGGAAGAAAGUUUGCAAUGAUCAGAAAAGUGGUUAAUUAAAUAUUGCUCAUUAAUGGAGGAAGAGCAGCAAAAUCUAUGAAAA